CCUACGGGAGGCAGCAGUGGGGAAUCUUAGACAAUGGGGGCAACCCUGAUCUAGCCAUGCCGCGUGAGUGAUGAAGGCCUUAGGGUCGUAAAGCUCUUUCGCUGGGGAAGAUAAUGACGGUACCCAGUAAAGAAACCCCGGCUAACUCCGUGCCAGCAGCCGCGGUAAUACGGAGGGGGUUAGCGUUGUUCGGAAUUACUGGGCGUAAAGCGCGCGUAGGCGGAUCAGAAAGUUGGGGGUGAAAUCCCGGGGCUCAACCCUGGAAUGGCCUUCAAAACUCCUGGUCUUGAGGUCGAAAGAGGUGAGUGGAAUUCCGAGUGUAGAGGUGAAAUUCGUAGAUAUUCGGAGGAACACCAGUGGCGAAGGCGGCUCACUGGCUCGAUACUGACGCUGAGGUGCGAAAGCGUGGGGAGCAAACAGGAUUAGAUACCCCGGUAGUC
This 440-nucleotide ribosomal RNA is filed under the name uncultured Anaerospora sp. Its description in RNAcentral is "bacterial SSU rRNA". It matches the Rfam family "Bacterial small subunit ribosomal RNA", at positions 338 to 795 of the family's 1533-position model. Lineage: Bacteria; Bacillati; Bacillota; Negativicutes; Selenomonadales; Sporomusaceae. The record is from RNAcentral.